Molecule: ribosomal RNA, 582 nt
Filed under: Triticum aestivum (bread wheat)
Lineage: Eukaryota; Viridiplantae; Streptophyta; Magnoliopsida; Poales; Poaceae
Description: partial small subunit ribosomal RNA
Source: RNAcentral
AUGUGGUAUGCUCCUAUAAUACCACGGUUGAAACGUCUGUUCAGAAACGAAGAGCAUGCCAAGUUGAUGCGAUGGCACAGUGAGAACCGAAAGAAAUAUGGGAAGUUGAGAGCACCCGCUGACGGGUCGCAGUGGAGAAAAAUCGAGAGAAAGUACUGGGAUGAGUUUGCAAAGGACCCAAGGAAUGUAUGGUUUGCUUUAAGCGCAGAUGGCAUUAAUCCUUUCGGGGAUCAGAGCAGCAAUCACACCACCUGGCCCGUGACUCUAUGUAUGUAUAACCUUCCUCCUUGGAUGUGCAUGAAGCGGAAGUUCAUUAUGAUGCCAGUUCUCAUCCAAGGCCCUAAGCAACCCGGCAACGAAAUUGAUGUGUACCUAAGGCCAUUAGUUGAAGAACUUUUACAUCUGUGGAAUGGAAACGGUGUACGUACGUGGGAUGAGCACAGACAGGAGGAAUUUAACCUUAAGGCGUUGCUGUUCGUGACCAUCAACGAUUGGCCCGCUCUCAGUAGCCUUUCAGGACAGACAAACAAAGGAUACCACGCAUGCGCGCACUGUUUAGAUGACAUGGCCCACUCUCAGUAA